UGCAUCGCAAGCUGACAGUUAAUUAGUUUCGUUUAAAGACUGCCCCAGCUCACAACUCCAAAAUGAGAACUUUAAUCGUUCUUACAAUAAUUGUUUGUCUUUCGGUGACAUUAGCUUUGCCCGUAGUGGAACAUGAUCAGAACUAUAACAUAGUGCCACUUUCACGUUUAAGAAGGGAAAGGGAAACGAAGCCAGAAGUCGCACACACAGAUGAACCUAAAGUCAUUGGUUCUAGUACCCCUAAACCUAAAUUAACUGACGCUGAACUUCUUAAGCGUUAUCAAAAUGAUCCCUGGAAAAGAGUAUAUGUAGCCCAAAGUGGUCCUUUUCCAAACUACUCGAAUGUAAUUAGAUUUUAAUGAGUUUGCGAACUUGUUAUUUUCAAUAAAUCAUGCAUUUAU
Zophobas morio is the source of this 401-nucleotide long non-coding RNA. RefSeq lists it as uncharacterized. The record is from RefSeq and is a predicted model, not a curated record. The transcript is spliced from 2 exons. Lineage: Eukaryota; Metazoa; Arthropoda; Insecta; Coleoptera; Tenebrionidae.